This 236-nucleotide ribosomal RNA is filed under the name uncultured microorganism. Its description in RNAcentral is "partial 16S ribosomal RNA". It matches the Rfam family "Archaeal small subunit ribosomal RNA", at positions 330 to 567 of the family's 1478-position model. The record is from RNAcentral.
GUGCAGCAGUCGAGAAACCUCCGCAAUACACGAAAGUGUGACGGGGCCAUCCCGAGUGCCGUCCGCUGAGGACGGCUUUUCCCCAGUGUACAUAGCUGGGGGAAUAAGGAGAGGGCAAGCCUGGUGUCAGCCGCCGCGGUAAUACCAGCUCUCCGAGUGGUGGGGGCGCUUAUUGGGCCUAAAGCAUCCGUAGCCGGCUGGGCAAGUCCUCCGUUAAAUCCAACGAUUCAAUCGUU